This 502-nucleotide ribosomal RNA is filed under the name uncultured bacterium. Its description in RNAcentral is "partial 16S ribosomal RNA". It matches the Rfam family "Bacterial small subunit ribosomal RNA", at positions 28 to 507 of the family's 1533-position model. The record is from RNAcentral.
GACGAACGCUGGCGGCGUGCUUAACACAUGCAAGUCGAACGGUGAAGGGGUCUGCUUUUGUGGGCCCUGGAUGAGUGGCGAACGGGUGAGUAACACGUGAGUAACCUGCCCCCUUCUUCUGGAUAACCGCAUGAAAGUGUGGCUAAUACGGGAUAUUCUGGGUCUGUCGCAUGAUGGGUCUGGGAAAGAUUGCGCCUUUGGGUGUUUUUGGUGGGGGAUGGGCUCGCGGCCUAUCAGCUUGUUGGUGGGGUGAUGGCCUACCAAGGCGGUGACGGGUAGCCGGCCUGAGAGGGUGGACGGUCACACUGGGACUGAGACACGGCCCAGACUCCUACGGGAGGCAGCAGUGGGGAAGAUUGCACAAUGGGCGCAAGCCUGAUGCAGCGACGCCGCGUGAGGGAUGGAGGCCUUCGGGUUGUAAACCUCUUUCGCCAGUGAAGCAGGCCUGCUCCUUGUGGGUGGGUUGACGGUAGCUGGAUAAGAAGCGCCGGCUAACUACGCG